AUUUAUAUAGUUUAAGUAAAACAUUACAUUUUCACUGUAAAAAUAAUACCUAUGUAUUUAUAAAUA
RNAcentral lists this transfer RNA (66 nucleotides) under Melanoplus bivittatus (two-striped grasshopper). RNAcentral describes it as "tRNA-Glu". It matches the Rfam family "tRNA". Rfam says of the family: Transfer RNA (tRNA) molecules are approximately 80 nucleotides in length. Their secondary structure includes four short double-helical elements and three loops (D, anti-codon, and T loops). Further hydrogen bonds mediate the characteristic L-shaped molecular structure. tRNAs have two regions of fundamental functional importance: the anti-codon, which is responsible for specific mRNA codon recognition, and the 3' end, to which the tRNAs corresponding amino acid is attached (by aminoacyl-tRNA synthetases). tRNAs cope with the degeneracy of the genetic code in two manners: having more than one tRNA (with a specific anti-codon) for a particular amino acid; and 'wobble' base-pairing, i.e. permitting non-standard base-pairing at the 3rd anti-codon position. The record is from RNAcentral. Lineage: Eukaryota; Metazoa; Arthropoda; Insecta; Orthoptera; Acrididae.